GCCCCGCAUGAUCGCGCCGGUGCCCCUCGGGGCUUGAAUGGGAACAUGGUGAGGCGGCUUCGUUCAGAGGCCGGCAAAUCCAGGGCUGUCCCUGCAACUGUAAGCGGUGAGCGCGAUGCACGGGUUUCCGGAACGAUCCGGGACGGCCACUGGGGAAACCUGGGAAGGUGUGCAUCGCGCGACGACCCGUGAGCCAGGAGACCUGCCGGCGUGGGUCGCUCAUU
RNAcentral lists this non-coding RNA (224 nucleotides) under Sphingobium sp. Lineage: Bacteria; Pseudomonadati; Pseudomonadota; Alphaproteobacteria; Sphingomonadales; Sphingobiaceae. The record is from RNAcentral.